Molecule: ribosomal RNA, 430 nt
Filed under: Chloroflexota bacterium
Lineage: Bacteria; Bacillati; Chloroflexota
Description: Chloroflexi bacterium partial 16S ribosomal RNA
Rfam family: Bacterial small subunit ribosomal RNA
Source: RNAcentral
UGGGGAAUAUUGCACAAUGGGCGCAAGCCUGAUGCAGCCAUGCCGCGUGUAUGAAGAAGGCCUUCGGGUUGUAAAGUACUUUCAGUCGGGAGGAAGGUGGUAAGGUUAAUAACCUUAUCAAUUGACGUUACCGACAGAAGAAGCACCGGCUAACUCCGUGCCAGCAGCCGCGGUAAUACGGAGGGUGCAAGCGUUAAUCGGAAUUACUGGGCGUAAAGCGCACGCAGGCGGUUGAUUGAGUCAGAUGUGAAAUCCCCGGGCUUAACCCGGGAAUUGCAUCUGAUACUGGUCAGCUAGAGUCUUGUAGAGGGGGGUAGAAUUCCAUGUGUAGCGGUGAAAUGCGUAGAGAUGUGGAGGAAUACCGGUGGCGAAGGCGGCCCCCUGGACAAAGACUGACGCUCAGGUGCGAAAGCGUGGGGAGCAAACAGGA